This 766-nucleotide ribosomal RNA is filed under the name Alasmidonta varicosa. RNAcentral's name for it is "partial small subunit ribosomal RNA". The record is from RNAcentral. Lineage: Eukaryota; Metazoa; Mollusca; Bivalvia; Unionida; Unionidae.
CCACACGCAUUGUGUAAUGACCAACUUCUAGCUAGGUUUUAAAAAUCUAGCCUAGAAAAUGACUCAAUAGCACCCACUCUGGGUGCCAAAAUUCUCACAACACCAAUGUUCUAUAUUAUGUAAGCUAGGAAACUAGGCCAUAGAAAAUAAGUAUAAAGGGGUGGCAAAAGAUGGUGCCAGCAGUCGCGGUUAUACCAAUACCCCAAGCUAAUUUUAGCAAAUCGGAAUAGUUUACUAUUUAUAGACUACAAAAUUAACUUUUAGCGUAAAAAACAAAUUAUAACUAUACCCUAUCCAGUCAUACUUAAACUAUUCCAACAAACCAUAACCUCAGAACUCGGAUCAGAUACCCGACUACUGUAUGGCUCAACUCAUAAAAGAAUACUAAAAGCGAAAGCUUAAACCUCAAACAAUGUGGCGGUGCUUUACUCCUCAUCAGGGGAUCCUGUGGCUUAAUUCGAUAAUCCACGAAAAUCUAAGCUAUUCUUGUUUACAGCUUGUGUAUGGCCGUUUAUGCUUGCUCAAAAAAGAAAAAACAGGAAGCAAUAGGGACAACUUCCCAGAAAUUCAGGUGACAUACAGCCAAUGAAAAGCAGAUCCAUGGGAUACAAAUAAACACAUUAUCAAAUUUAAAGUUUAAAACUUUAAUGAAGGAGGACUUGAAAGUAAGAUUUAACCUUAAAGAAAAAAAAUCUGAAUAAGAACUAAAGCGCGCACAAAUCGCCCGUCACUCCGACAAGUAAGGUAGGAUAAGUCGUAACAUAGU